Molecule: ribosomal RNA, 137 nt
Filed under: uncultured bacterium
Lineage: Bacteria
Description: partial 16S ribosomal RNA
Rfam family: Bacterial small subunit ribosomal RNA
Source: RNAcentral
UGGGGAAUAUUGCACAAUGGGGGAAACCCUGAUGCAGCGACGCCGCGUGAAGGAAGAAGUAUCUCGGUAUGUAAACUUCUAUCAGCAGGGAAGAUAGUGGCGGUACCUGACUAAGAAGCCCCGGCUAACUACGUGCC